GUGGGGAAUAUUGGGCAAUGGGCGAAAGCCUGACCCAGCAACGCCGCGUGAAGGAAGAAGGUCUUCGGAUCGUAAACUUCUAUCCUUGGUGAAGAUAAUGACGGUAGCCGAGAAGGAAGCCCCGGCUAACUACGUGCCAGCAGCCGCGGUAAUACGUAGGGGGCAAGCGUUGUCCGGAAUGAUUGGGCGUAAAGGGCGCGUAGGCGGCCUGGUAAGUCUGGAGUGAAAGUCCUGCUUUUAAGGUGGGAAUUGCUUUGGAUACUGUCGGGCUUGAGUGCAGGAGAGGUAAGUGGAAUUCCCGGUGUAGCGGUGAAAUGCGUAGAGAUCGGGAGGAAUACCAGUGGCGAAGGCGACUUACUGGACUGUAACUGACGCUGAGGCGCGAAAGUGUGGGGAGCAAACAGGAUUAGAUACCCCUGUAGUCC
This 425-nucleotide ribosomal RNA is filed under the name uncultured bacterium. RNAcentral's name for it is "partial 16S ribosomal RNA". It matches the Rfam family "Bacterial small subunit ribosomal RNA", at positions 354 to 796 of the family's 1533-position model. The record is from RNAcentral.